RNAcentral lists this ribosomal RNA (252 nucleotides) under uncultured bacterium. RNAcentral's name for it is "partial 16S ribosomal RNA". It matches the Rfam family "Bacterial small subunit ribosomal RNA", at positions 524 to 776 of the family's 1533-position model. The record is from RNAcentral.
UACGUAGGUGGCAAGCGUUAUCCGGAAUUAUUGGGCGUAAAGAGGGAGCAGGCGGCAACAAAGGUCUGUGGUGAAAGACUGAAGCUUAACUUCAGUAAGCCAUAGAAACCGGGCAGCUAGAGUGCAGGAGAGGAUCGUGGAAUUCCAUGUGUAGCGGUGAAAUGCGUAGAUAUAUGGAGGAACACCAGUGGCGAAGGCGACGAUCUGGCCUGCAACUGACGCUCAGUCCCGAAAGCGUGGGGAGCAAAUAGG